RNAcentral lists this long non-coding RNA (3983 nucleotides) under Sus scrofa (pig). RNAcentral describes it as "lncRNA (ENSSSCG00040042749.1)". Lineage: Eukaryota; Metazoa; Chordata; Mammalia; Artiodactyla; Suidae. The record is from RNAcentral.
CUGUGGCGUAAGUCACAGAUGUGGCUCAGAUCUUGUAUGGCUGUGUCUGUGGCUGUUGCGUAGGCUGAUGGCUGCAGCUCUGAUUUGACCUCUAGCCUGGAAACUUCCUUAUGCUGCAGGUGCAGCCAUAAAAAGAAAAACAAAAACAAAAAACCCCACAAAAAACUUCUGCCUUUACAAAAUCACGGUGAUAUGCUGUCACCUAAUCACAUUUCUGCUCUAUUCUAACCUUAUGGAAUGUUGGGAAGGUGUCAAGAGAGGAACAGCAGAGAAAAGGGAAAUUUAUUUGAGAUCAAACACUUUGAAACCACUACAUACUGUUUCUGUCCUAAGAAUUCGUAGGUAACAUACUCAAUAAUUCAUAUUUCUUCACAUGUCAUUUCUGUCAUGGAGUCUAGAAGAAACUUGGAAUCUGGAACUAAAUGUUGAUCUUUAGUGGAUAACUCUUUCAAGAUUCAGUUCUCUUUUUUAUAAAAGGGCCAUUAUACUAUACACCAAGCUACUCCACAGGUCUACUGAGAGAAGCAAAUGUAACAGAUAUGAAUCGAUAAUUAUAGUUCUGUCAGUGGACAUAUAAUUUCUAAAGGUCACAUCUCUGUAUUAGCAUAUUUGUAAAUAGCAGUCAAAAGAUGCAUGCUCAUUGUCCAAAAUACAAAAUUUUUACAAAAACUUAUUUUAGUGAUUUACUCCUCACCUGAGAAUGAUAAUGUUACAGCAAAUUUAGUAAUUAAAGAGACAUGUUCAUACUAUUUUAUUUUUGUAUCAUAUUUUGACUUCUAAGGUACAGGUUAAUUUGUGUGAACUCAGUAGAUAAUGGUAAUGUUCUUGAAAAUAUAUGCUUGAGGCUUUGGUUUGUCUUUGCUCUUGUUGUUUUUGCUGUUUUGGUUAAACAUGUAAAUCUAGCCUGGUAGCAUACUGGAAAUUACAUUUGCAAGAAAUAGAAUCCAUUUUGUAUUCUUAAAAUAUGUUUAAGCAUAGAUUAUUUCAUUUGGGGAAGUAAUCUUUACAAAGUUAUUUACAAAUAUGUGUUCUGGUAAUUUCCAAAUAUAUUUGGUCGUAUAUUUAAAUGCAUAAUUGUGUCAGAAUGUGGCAGUUGCACAUACUAAAAGCUAAUUCACUCUCAGAAAGUCUUGUUUAUACAACUGUGUGUGGACUACAGGGACAACAAAUGAAUAAGAAGGAAUCCUGUCUUGUUCUGAAUCAGCACGAAGUGUUUUGGAAAUAAGUUUCUACAAUACUUCUUAUUAUAAACAUGAUAUACCAUAUCUUUAAAAAAACUACUUCAUUAUUUUUUCUAUUGUAUUUUUCUGUUUAUUUUUAUAGGUUAAACACAUAUAUUGAUUUUCCCUAUUAAAUAAACUGUUGUAAAUCAAAUUCCUUGAGAAUUCUCAAACUGCAAUCUGAAGCCAUCGUAACUAUGUAGUCUGUUCUGUUCAAUCUAUUCAUUUGAACGAUUACAUGGUUUAUGCAUAUUUGUGAGCAACCUGUGAGCCUAUUUCUUUUUGGAAUGAGCCAGUGUGGAUCACGUUAGGGCAGGACUCUUAAUUCCUUGAUUUGCAUUUAACAUCAUAAUUUCCCUUAUAGAAAUAAAACAGUGCAUUUCCCCCACUUACAGCAGAGUGAAAAGGAGAAAAAAAGCUGAAUUUCUGAGACUGAGAUGUAAUAUUACAAAUAUAAUCAUCAAAACAAUCACUCCUUUGUCAGUUUGAGACUAAAUUACAUUAGAGCCUGAUUUUUUAAACCCUUGAUACAAAAAAGAGAAACCAAGUAAAUCUGUGUAACUCUGUGUAAGGGUAAAUAGGAUACCUUUUUAGAAACUCUCUUGCAUAUACAUAUAGAAGAGCCCUAACCACUAAUAACAGACCCAGAUUCAAAGUAUAAAUAUCUAACUUCUCUCUCCUGCACCAGGAGUUCUCAAGUUCAUGUCUCAGAAACUCCAGAUUAAUCCUGAAAUGAGAAAAGUCUAGAAAUUCAGAGAUUUGCCUGGUCCUUCAACGGACAAAUAUAUAUUCCCUCCACUCCACAUUUUGAUAUUUAUGUCCUUGUGUGCACUUACUUGUCUAGUUUGGGGUUCUUUCCACUACUUAUUUUCUAUAAUUCUUCUUUUUUUAAGGGGAGAUUGUCUUUUUUUUUUUUUUCAAAAUAAGACUGCAAUUUCAUAUUUUUUAAAUGCUGAGUACAUUCUCAUUUUAUUUAUCCUGAGAAGAGAUAACUACUUCAGAAAAGUCUGCUUGCCAGUUAGAGGAGGAGAGGAAAAAAGGAGGGAGGGAGGAAGAAAGGGAGAGAAGGAGGAAGGGACCUAAGGAAAAGAAUGCUUAAGUCCCUUUAAGAGCUUCUGAAUUCAUCUCGGAUGAAAAAUUAGCAUAUUCUUGAACGCAGAUCUGAUGUUCUCUUUCAGUCUAAUCUUUUUAUGGAAACAAAUGCCUGAAGCUUAUUGUUUAUUUUCUCAACUGUAAGAUAAGGGGGAUAAUGUUGAUUGUAUCUACUUAGUAUUUUUCAAUGUGAGUCACUUUCUGAGAGAAAUGAUAAAUUUUCUAAUAUUCUUAAUUCUAAAAUCUACCACAAAGGACAUUUGUUACAACUUAAGAAAAAGCAUACUGAGCCCCCCCUCCCAAAUGGGGGGAACAAGGGAGGAGUCAAGGAAGUAGCUGUUUUGGGGUUAUAUGUUUUUAGUUUUUCCUUGUUUUUAUCUUAUGCUUUCAAAAUUGGAGCAUUUUCAUGUGUAAGAAAAUAGUUAUCGAAGUCCAGGGACCACAGGUAAUUUAAAAAAAAUUCCCAUGUAACUAGCUGUGUGAUUUGGGCAAGUCAUUUAAUUUCUCUGGGCUUCAAGUUUUCAUUUGUUAAAAUAAGAUAUUAGCAUGAGCUGUAAGGCAGUGUUACUUUCAUUUUUAAAUACUAUGCUUUUUGAAAAUAAUCAUGAUGACUGUGAUGAAACAGUGAUAUGUGUAUGUGUGUGCACACAUGUGGCUUUUAAAAUUGAGAUAUAAUUCAUACACCAUAAAAUUCACUUGUAAAGUGAACAGUUCAGUGGGUAUUAGCAUAUUAUCAAGACGGUACAACCGUCACUACUAUACAAACCAUUUUUGAGUAUUUUCAUCACUCAAAAAGCAGCCUUAUACCCAUUAUGUUUUAUUCUUUGUUGUUGUUGUUGUUGUUGUUGUCUUUUUGCCAUUUCUUGGGCCGCUCCCGCGGCAUAUGGAGGUUCCCAGGCUAGGGGUCGAAUCGAAGCUGUAGCCACCGGCCUACGCCAGAGCCACAGCAACAUAGGAUCAGAGCCACAUCUGCGACCUACACCACAGCUCACGGCAAUGCCGGGUCCUUAACCCACUGAGCAAGGCCAGGGACCGAACCCGCAACCUCAUCAUUCCUAGUCGGAUUCGUUAACCACUGUGCCACGACGGGAAUUCCAGUGUUUUAUUCUUAUUUGCAGUUGAAUAAUAUUUGGCUAUGUGAAUAUACCACAUUUUAACUAUUUAUCACUUGAUGGAUAUUUGAGUUGUUUCCACAUUUUGGCUGUUAUGAAUAAAGCUGCUGUAAACAUUCAUGAAACGUUUUCUUAUGUAAACAUAUAUUUUCAUUUAUCUUGAGUGUAUACCUAAGGAUGGAAUUGCUUAUCAUAUGGUUAACUCUAUAUUUAAUAUUUUGAGAACAUGCCAGACUGUUUUCCAAAGCAACUGCACAAUUUACAAUCUGAUCAGCAAUUUAUGAGGGCUCCAAUUUCUCCAAAUCCUCACCAAUAUUUGUUAUUGUCUGUCUUUUUUAGUAUAUUGAUAUCAAAGCUAGACAAAGUAAUAUAAAUAAAACUAUAGACCAUUCAUUUCUUAUAAAUAUAAAUGCAAAAAUUCUAAACAAAAUUUUGACAAAUAUAGGUCAGCAAUAUGUAAAAAUGAUACUACAUCACAAUUAACUAAGAUUUAGAAGGUAAUGUUGAUUUAAUGUUUGGAAAUAAUUCACUGCAAAUAAUCGCAUUAGUAAACUAAAAU